Molecule: ribosomal RNA, 497 nt
Filed under: uncultured bacterium
Lineage: Bacteria
Description: partial 16S ribosomal RNA
Rfam family: Bacterial small subunit ribosomal RNA
Source: RNAcentral
GAUGAACGCUGGCGGCGUGCCUAAUACAUGCCAGUCGAGCGAAAGGGCGAGGAGCUUGCUUCUCUGAUGUUAGCGGCGGACGGGUGAGUAACACGUGGAUAACCCACCUGUCAGACUGGGAUAACUUGGGGAAACCGGAGCUAAUACCGGAUAAUAUUUUGAACCACGGGGGGCAAAAGUGAAAGACGGUGUUGCGGGCACUUAUAGAUGGAUCCGCGCUGUUUGAGAUGGUUGGUGAGUUAAAGGCUUACGAAGGCGAGGAUGCGUGGCCGACGUGAGGGGCGGAUAGCCCACACUGGAACUGGGCCACGGACCAGAGUCCUACGAGACGGAGCAGUAGGGAACCGUACGCAGCAGGCGAGAGCAUGGCGGAGCAGCGCCGCGUGAGUGACGGAAGUCUUCGGAUCGUAAUGCUCUGUUACUGGGUAAGAACAGCUUUGGAAGGUGACGUGCAGUGCGUGACGGUACCUAGUAAGAAAGCACCGGCUAACUACGUG